RNAcentral lists this ribosomal RNA (506 nucleotides) under uncultured bacterium. RNAcentral describes it as "partial 16S ribosomal RNA". It matches the Rfam family "Bacterial small subunit ribosomal RNA", at positions 29 to 523 of the family's 1533-position model. The record is from RNAcentral.
AUUGAACGCUGGCGGCAGGCCUAACACAUGCAAGUCGGACGGUAGCACAGAGGAGCUUGCUCCUCGGGUGACGAGUGGCGGACGGGUGAGUAAUGUCUGGGGAUCUGCCCGAUAGAGGGGGAUAACCACUGGAAACGGUGGCUAAUACCGCAUAACGUCGCAAGACCAAAGAGGGGGACCUUCGGGCCUCUCACUAUCGGAUGAACCCAGAUGGGAUUAGCUAGUAGGCGGGGUAACGGCCCACCUAGGAGACGAUCCCUAGCUGGUCGGAGAGUAUGACCCGCCACACUGGCACUGAUACACGGUCCAGACUCCGACGGGAGGCAGCAGUGGGGAAUAUUGCACAAUGGGCGCAAGCCUGAUGCAGCCAUGCCGCGUGUAUGAAGAAGGCCUUCGGGUUGUAAAGUACUUUCAGCGGGGAGGAAGGCGAUGUGGUUAAUAACCGCAUUGAUUGACGUUACCCGCAGAAGAAGCACCGGCUAACUCCGUGCCAGCCGCCGCGGUAA